AACGCACGAGACCUGCGGACCUGCGGAAGGAUCAUUACAAAUCUUUUAUCUUUUUUUUGUAAAAGGAGAGAGGAAGAAAAGGGGGAAAGAGAGAGAGAGUAUUAAGAAGAGGGAAUAAUUUUGAGUUAUUCUCCCUUUUGGUACUACUUGUCCCUUUUUUUCUUUAAAUCUAUUACAAAAAAAAGAUAAUAUAAGCACGAGAUCAUUCUUUUUGAAACGAAAAGAAUGAUCUUGAUGUUC
This 240-nucleotide unclassified non-coding RNA is filed under the name soil metagenome. RNAcentral's name for it is "partial contains 5.8S ribosomal RNA, internal transcribed spacer 2, and large subunit ribosomal RNA". The record is from RNAcentral.